Molecule: transfer RNA, 72 nt
Filed under: Deltaproteobacteria bacterium
Lineage: Bacteria; Pseudomonadati; Myxococcota; Myxococcia
Description: tRNA-Gly
Rfam family: tRNA
About the family: Transfer RNA (tRNA) molecules are approximately 80 nucleotides in length. Their secondary structure includes four short double-helical elements and three loops (D, anti-codon, and T loops).
Source: RNAcentral
GCGAGCAUGGUCCAAAGGUAGGGUCCGGGUCUUCCAAACCCUGGGGUGCGGGUUCGACUCCCGCUGCUCGCU